GUCAAGUUAGUUUAGCUAAAAUAUCAGCCUGUGGAUUUGAAGAUGAAAAUUGAUUUCACUUGACC
Molecule: transfer RNA, 65 nt
Filed under: Boreotrophon candelabrum
Lineage: Eukaryota; Metazoa; Mollusca; Gastropoda; Neogastropoda; Muricidae
Description: tRNA-His
Rfam family: tRNA
About the family: Transfer RNA (tRNA) molecules are approximately 80 nucleotides in length. Their secondary structure includes four short double-helical elements and three loops (D, anti-codon, and T loops).
Source: RNAcentral